UGGACAGUGGAGAGUAAUAAAAAUCACGGCCAUUUAUUGGGUGUUUACUAUGUGUUGGGCAUCAUGCUAAGUACUUUGCAUACAUUAUCUUAUUUAAUCCCCACAGUAACCAUGUGUCACGCCUGUUAGUAGCACUGCUUUAGUGAUACAAGAUGAUGUUAAUUAACUUGCCUCAGGUCACACAGCCAGUGUGAGUCUUUGUGACUCCCACGCUCCCACUCUGAAUGCCAGUGCUGUGUUUUCUCUCAAUGGCUAGGUACCCAAAGACAGGAUUUAGCCUUUGGGAGUCCUGGGUUCAAUUUGUUACUGUGCUGCUUAUUGGCUAAGUGAUCCUGGAUGAGUCUCCUAGCUUUCUUCAUGUUCUCCUCCGUAAGAUGGGAAUAAUUGCAUAUACUUCACUAGGCUUUGAUGGGGAAUGAAGUUAAUUUGUUACAAAAGCACUGUGUAAACUAGAAGGGAUUAACCAUACAUUUCACCUCAUUUAAAUGAGUCAGUAGUAAAAACUUGUUUAAAAAAUACUUAUGUACAAAAAAGUCACGUGUAUUGGGCCUUUUUCUUUUCCUAAGGAAACCUGGUUAGCCCCGCCUUUUAUGCCAGGGAUGGUCAAGUGUGACAAUGGAGAGUAGUUCAUCUGCCAAGGACAGGCAUUGGGAGGAGGUCUUAUCAGAGGGGAAGGGAUGUCAUCCACAUGUACAGCACAGCGGUUAAAGAGACAGGGCUCUGAGUCUAGUUACCAGCUGUGCCUCCUCGUAUAGGCUCCCCAGUUCCUAUCCGUGGAGUGGAGGUGAUAACAGUGCCAGCUUCGUCCCGCUGUUGUGGAAUGCUGAAUGAGCUAUGAGGCAGCACGGGGCCAACCACCAGGCCUGACAACGUGGCAGGUUUGUGGAAUGUGGAAGUUGAUGUUCGUGAUGAGGAGGAUGCUGCUUGGGCAGAUAAAAGGCAAGGGGCAUGCUAAUUGGGGGCCUUGGCCUUAUUUGAAGGAUCUCCCAGAGGGAGACAAGGAGAACAUACAGGUCUGGUGGGACUGAGGGCAGCCUUGGGAGGAAGCCAGAGCCCUGUAAACGGGCUCUCAGCCAGAUGGAGAAUCUAGUUCUAUUUCUCAUCUCCCAAAGUGGGGGUCGGUGGUGGUCAGGGCUGUGGGGCCCAACAAGGACUGCAGGGAGGUAGCCUCUGUCCCUGGUCCUUCUGCAGGCCCCAGGGAGAUGGCUGAGUCCUGGAGGUCUUCUGGCCAGCUUCCAUUCUGUGCCUGAGCAGGUUACAAAUCACUGGGAGGAGGGACGCAUUCCACGGUGAAGCUCAGCUUUAUCAUCUUGGCCAAGGAGCAAAGUUUACUCAGAAAGAGUUCCUGCCAUUUUUUAACUUGUUACUUGGUUCUGCAUAUGAGAGAGAAAAAGGAGAUGGGGGAGCCAAGUGUUGGGAUGGGGUGUGGGAAGGAGGUUAAAUGUUGAGACUGGCUUGCCGGGACACGUUUCUUAUACAAAGGUGAUAUAUGACGACUCUGGGGAUAGCCUACAGGUAGGCAGGAAGUGGCCAGUCAGUUGUAUCUCAGCAUUGUAUGAUUCCAAAAAUGAGGGGUAAGCUUGGUAUUUCGAAUGUUUAGAAGUAGGCCUCACGGAAGUUGUGCUGUGUUUCCUUCCUGUGUUCAUCGGCCUAUUUGCCCAGUGGAUGGUUACUGGACAUGGAUGUGCGCCAUGUGGUGGCAUAAAGGGCUGUAAGACGCAGUCCAGGCCCGCGAGAAGCUUCCUAGCAGUGAGGCUGUUUUAUAACUGUUCCCAAAUCAUGUUAGCUCUGGAAGCUAUUUCAGGAACGCUUUUGGUUAUGAACCGUAUCUUAUAUUUAAUUUUGAUUCUCUUUUCCCUCCUGUCCUGGAUUCAGUAGCAGCAUCCACACUGUGUGCCUGGCUGUGUCGUAGGUGUUGGAAGUACUUAGAAGAAUUAGGAGGUACUUGGUAAAAGCUUGUUAAUUAACUAAAGUGGGGACCUAGAACCAUCUCCAAAGAACUUUUGGUCUUCUCUUGUGCAGUCAAGACUCUUCAUGUCUCAAAAGGACCCUGAGCUUCUAUCUGGAGCGCAUCAGAAUCUGUGAAAUGCCUGGAUCUAGGCCAUAAAGUAGAGGGUUUGUCCCCCUCUUUUCCUUAGUUGCUGUAUGUUCUUAAUAACAGUAAGAGUUUUAGCCCACUGCAGGAGGCACCUGAAGGCAUGCAAAGCUCCACCUCUCCACCUACCUCCUAGGGCCCUGGGUGGCACUCCUCUGCUCCUUUCCUUUCUUCUUCUGUUACCGUAUCAGGUAAGGCCACUUUCUACUCUUAGUUGAAAUUUACAGUUGAUAGCCAUGGGGAACCAUUAGAGUCUCUGGUCUUUGAUUCCCUGGGAGAGGGUGGGUCUGACAGUGGCCUUCCCACCUGUGUGAUGAGGACAGCUGAUUUCUGUCUCCUUUGUUCUCAGCCUCACAUGGGGUCACAAGGAAAAGGAAAACACAUAAAAGAUCCCCAGGGCUCAGAUUUGGGGUUGCACUGUUUUUAGUCCAGAGCCAGCUGUCUUUGGCAUCCGUCAGGCAGAGGGGUGAGGUGAUUGCUGGUGCUUGUGACACCACAGGUUAAGUGUCCCUUUGAUAUUUGCUUGGGGACCCUUUCCAGAAGCUGCAGUUAGAAGAGCACAUUCUUGUUUGAUACAUUUAGAUCAAAGGAAGGAAAGAGUAGGAGAAACCUCAGAGGACCUGUGUGGGUGGGCAGGGAAGGGAUUCACAUCAAGUGAGCCCGUUUCCAGUGUGUUUGUUGGGGAUUUAGGGGUUGUCAUGUUGACAGGCCUAAUCUAGUCCAAUCAGGCAAUCAGCAAGUAUUGAUUGAGUGCUGCUGGAAGUAUCGCUUUGGCAAGAAUGAAAAAAGAAUUUUGAAGCUUGCCUGGACCCUUUCUUUGAAAAGUUCAGACUCUAAUUGGAGGCUACAGAUGAGCCACGUGUGACAUGAGACAUGACAGCCUAUUAUCUUGGCUCUAAAUUGUAACAAGGGGUUAAACUGUUGGCAUCUGGAGAAGGAAGAACAAUCGUGGCAAACGUGGGGCCUGCAGGAUUGCUGUCUAUCUCAUCUGGGAAAGAGUGAAGGAUACAGGUAGACAUAUUGCUUAGUCUAGUAGAGACCAUGGAUCUCAGACUCUUGUCCAACAUCAAAAGUAUCAAAGCACCUUCUCCUUGCUGGAGUUUGGCCACGUGGAAAGAAUCCAUCCAGCUAGCUCUCAAAAAAGGAACAGGUGAGCGUUGGGAUUGAUUCCCAGCUAAGGGAAAUUGAGCAGAUUAAUGGAGAUAAUAUAUGUGAAAUGGUUUAGUGUGUGUCAUACAGAAAUAAUUCAACAAAGGCUUAUUGGCAGAUUCCUAAGCUCAAGACUGAGAGGGCCUGAAGAAGGCACAUAGCAAGGUUUUAAUUAUUGUGUGUAUGGGAGGGCUGGGUUGGGAGUCGAGGGGCAGGGGCGGAUUAAGCAAGACAGGGAGUGAGGACUCCUGAGGGAGGAAGAAGAUUCUCUGGGAGAUCAGAGCCGGAUGCCCUUUGGCCUUCUCAGGCCACUUUUGGAGGGCUGCUGCAGUUCCUGAUCUCAAUUAGGAGGGAAAAUGUCAAACUACUAGUUGAAGUACAGAGCAGAGCUGCUGGCACGUGAAGAGUGGUUAAAAACAUGAGACUGUGUGGCCCAGAGAGGUAGAGAUUUUGGUGAGAGGGGGUUUGCUAGGUACAGUAUUGUGUGUUUAAAGCACUGUCAGGUGAUGUGGGUGUCAGACUUACCCUGUGGUACCUCAGGGGGCAGCCCUGGGGCCAGUGGGCAGCUGUGAUAGGGAGGCAGAUGUUGGUGUUGGGAGCUGGAUGCCUGUCUUGCUUUAUGGGCUGUGAAGGAUGUGAGGGAGAGAAGAUGGGUGACCCUGUCAGGUCUCCAGCUCCUUCUGUGGGUCCCGUAGUGUUUACACAUGAGCGAAUGUCCGCCAUGCAGGGAUGCUAAUAAUGAAAACAGUAGCCAUAACUUCCCUUACUGAAUACUUGUUGGGUACCAGGCACUGUUGCUGAGUGCUUUACUCAGAUAGACUCUAAUCUUCACAGCAACACUAUGAAGAGGUAUGAUGAGCUUAUCAGCCCUACUUUAUAGAUGAGAGAAUUUAGGCAAGACAUGGAAUAACUCACCCAAGAUCCCACACCUUGGACUCUAACCCAAGGCGGAGUCUUCUUGUCUCAGUGGAAGGUGAGGCCAGAUGACAUUGAGGGUGUCUUACACCCCUAGAGUUCUAAGGCCCUGUCUUGUGGCUCAUUCUGGGCUAUUUGGAUGGGGUUGAGAGGGUCUGUGGGUUUGGGGCAGGAACAGUGGUUACGACUCUCGGGAUGACCUGACUGUGGAUGCUGGUGCUGGUCAGUGAUAGGGCUCCGUGAACAGAGUUCUCCCGCUGGCUGUUAGGAAAGGGCCUCUCUAGGGAAGUGGGCUGGGACAUCCCAGCUUAUCUCAGCAUCUCAGUUCCUCCUGUCUUCCUUCCUCUACCCUUACGGUGAUUUAGGGCUCUCAGAAGCUCCAGUAGUAAUUUUUUCAUGUCAGCAUACCCAGAAACUUAUAUAUAUAUUUUUUGAGACAGAAUCUCGCUCUUUUACCCAGGCUGGAGUACAAUGGCACAAUCUCGGCUCACUGCAACCUCCACCUCCCAGGUUCAAGCGAUUCUCAUGACUCAACCUCCCAAGUAGCUGGGAUUACAGGCGUGUGCCACCAUGCUUAGCUAACUUUUGUAUUUUUAGUAGAGAUGGGGUUUCACCAUGUCAGCCAGGCUGGUCUUAAACUCCUGGCCUCAAGUGAUUUGCCGGCCUUGGCUUCUUUUGGCCUCCCAAAGUGCUGGAAUUACAGUCGUGAGCCACCGCACCUGGCUCCAGAAACUUCCUGAUUGUGUCAUGAGCGCACUCAGCCUGUAGGUCUCUCCUCAACCCCCACUUAGCUCUGCCUCCCAAGAAAGGCGUAGAGCAAGUGAUGCCCAAGUGCCUGGGCCUCCAGGGCCAGCAGGACUUGAGCUGUCUUGUUUGGGGGGCCAGGGUGGGAUUAAGGAGCCAGCUGUCCUCCUAGCAUCUUGCUUUCCUAGUUUACCAGCCUCUGCUGACCGAGGGAGUUCCUGCCAGCCAAGGGUGGAGCUCCUUAAAAAGUGCCUCGCACUGUACCUGACACAUGGGCCCCAAACACAUUUUUUUUUGGAAUAGAUCAACGGCCAUUCUUUCUGUUGGACCCGACUGCUUUCUAAAUAUUCACCCUGGCCUCUGAAGGUUUUGAAGUUUUCAGAGGGAGAGUGAUGGGGUGCUCCUCUCACCUCCAAAGUAUGUGGCAUUGGAGAAAUCUUCUAAGUGUAAUCUUCUGUCUUGUAAGGCAGAGCUGUUGUUGCUGUGCUGCUUUUGGAGAAAGAACAUUGGCCUCAGAGGCCUAUGUCAAAUCCUAGCCUGAGAAUAAUGGCUGUCCAGUGGUCCCAGGGGGUUUCAGAGAGCUGAACCCUCUAAAGGAGUGUAAUUCCAACACCUUCCUUCAGUAAAUAAAUCAACCACAGGACUGCCUCCCACCCCCAAAGAUUCUGGUCAACAUCCCCUCCCAGUGCAGAGGAAGUAUUCACAUCAUCAGAGGUUUUGUGGAACCUUACUUUUGGUAUGGUUUCACAUUGUGAAAACAAUAUGAAAACAUAUCCCAAAUAUUAACUGUUAUGUUUUAGACAGUCCCCAGCUCCUCUCCCACCCCUGAAUGAGGGCCUCGGCCCUGGAAGUUUUGUCCCUGCUCCUGGCAAGGCUGGCACUUUGCUGAAAGCUCGGACCUGUGCCCAGGCCAUGCACAAUGGCCCUGGUCUCUUUUCUCCUCUGUCCUAGGCUGCAGGUACGGACGUGCCCCUGCUUGGGGGAUAAGGCAGUAUGGAAAUGAAAGUUGAAGUCAGAAGUGUUUGGGGAAUCCCCUGCCCCACUUGUGUUUGUGAUUCCUGCUGUCUAGAUCUGACUCAGUUAAGUAGAGCAGAAGUUUGUUGUGAGGCAGGAAAGCGACUCCAUUUAUAAGUCACAUGGUGCUAAACCCAUGUGGUCACACAGAGGUCAGCACAGCCCCAUAAAUCAUCAGAGGCCUAGGUUCUUCAUACCCUAGAGACAUCUCCUCCUGCCCACAAGAGCAGCAGCAGCGUCUGAGGGCACCAACCUGUGCCUGGAGGGAGUCUGGCCAAGACACCCCAAUCCCGGCCAUGUCUGGCCUGUGGCACAGGCUACAGGUUCCGCUGUUGAGGAAUGGAGUAAUGUUCUCCUCAAGUCCCUCUCACGUGGCCCAACCACACUCUAUCUCUCUGGAAAUUAUUUCCAUCCAUUGGCAGGGCCAAGAUUUUGAGCAGCCAGCCAAGAGGCACGUUGGGUUACUCCCUCAGUCCCAAGAAGACUUUGUCCUCCUGUAUUUUAGGCAGCAGGAGCUGUGACCAGUGGUUAGCAGAGUGGCCACGUUCACUCAGCCCCAGCCCAUGGUCAGGAUAGCAGGUGCCAGUGCUAUUGCCAGUCUGGGUUUUGCUUAUGGCUGAGUUGUGAGCCCUCUGGGGUGGGAGGUUAGAUUUAAUGAUUAGCGGCCUAAGACAAGAUAGAUGUUUUGGCCUAUUUCACUUUCCCAAGAGGUGAUGGGAGCCAGCUUGGGCAGGACAUUUUGGAGCCUGGAUUUCUGGCCUGAGAGACAGACUGACUGUGUCUGUCCAGGAAAAAGCAUCUACUUACAAACAGAGCAUCCUAGUCACAAUAUCUGCUGUUGCAGGCCUGACCUUCCCUCAUGCAAACAUGCCCCUCUCUGUGCAGCCCUUGGGCGUAUUUCACAUGGGAGUCCCUGUUGGUGCUGGGGUUCACUUCCAUUUGUGCUGUGAAUUCAGCAUUCAACUUGGCCUUUGCUUGUCUUCCUUUACCCUGAGGGUCGGGGAGCCCUGUGUUCUUGGCCAGCGUCUGCCAGGCCACUUACUCUCUGCCGCCUGGCUCUGGCUCCCUGUCUGUGGCGGCAUUCUGAGUGUGUGUCUGCAUUUCACCUCUGCCAGCACCUACCCUCCAGCACAGGCUGUCCCCAGCCCUUGCCUCUCGGAUUUUCACUUGGCACCUGGCACUGCAUUGUGUCCUUGGAGUGUUCGUUGUCACUGCUGGGCCUUGUUUCGCUUCAGCUCAGUGACACGGGUGGAAGUGUCAUGGUCUCUUGGGUUGGGGGAAAGCUCCUCAGUGGCUCUGGGGUAGUUCCUCCAGGAGACUGGCACAGUGUGGUCUUCAUGGCUGAGGUCUGACCACACCAUGAUCACUGCUGUUGGUCUGCAACUAUUAAUGGCACUGCUCCUUAGGAGCCUUUUCCCCAUGAAUGCCAUCAGACUUCUACUCUAUGAGUACCAUUUCUGUCCCCACCCCACCAUCGAGCACAUUCUCAUACUUUUUGUGAUUAUAUAUACUUAGAUUUCUGUGUUUUUAUUUCUUCUUGAAGUUGCUUGAUGUUAGAAAUUCAUCUCUUCCUUACCAGGUAUUGAACUAUCCCAGUAAUUUAGCUUUUACUUGGCUUCUGCAACCUUUUUUUCUCUAAGCUCCUUAUCUGUCUUGGGCCUACCACUUGAACACAUUUGAUCUUGUCUACUUAUCUUGUCAAUAUGAAGCUAGGUAUGGUUGUGUCUGGUUAGUACUUGGAUGGAAGAUCUGAGAAUGCUAGGUAUUCUAAGUCUUUUGAGGUGUUGGUAGGCUUUUUCUUACACCAAAUGCAAAAUCUUUAUGUCGCCAUUGUUGUCAUUCUCAUCAUCAUAGUGAUAGCUGGGAUUAAUCGAGUAUUUAUUCUGUGUUGGGCCUUGUGCUGAAUUACUUCUGUAUCUCAUAUCCUCGCCAAGAAAAUCCCUAUGAAGUAUAGAUGAAGGUGAAACUAGAAACUUAGAAAGGUUAAGUAAGUUGUUCAAGUUUAUAUAAUUAGUCAAGAGGCUGCACUAGAAUUCAGAUUCAAAUCUAUCUCAUUUUAGAGUUAGAGUUUUUAACCACUAUAUGUAAUAUUUUUGUUUGGUGGUUAAGUACUCUAUAAAUGUUGGUUGAAUGGCAAGAUUGCUCUAACAGUCCAGCUGUUCUCCAUGGUGUCACUAAUGAUGAUGAUGAUAGCACACAGCAUUUUUUGAAUGAAUGCUUGCAGUGGUAAGCUCUGUACUAAAAGACAUGCAUCAGUUAACCCAUUUAAUCUUAUAGCUCAAUGAGGAAGAUUACCCCCAUUUUGCUGAUUAGGAAACUGAGGCCAGAAAGGCCAAGGUAACUUGCCCAAGGUGACACAGCUAAAUAGUAUUAGGGGAUUUGGAUGCAAGCUGUCUCCUAAACUGUGUGAGUCUGUACUCUUAAUCACUAUGUUGCUCUCCACAAAAAAAUAAGGCUGAUUUUUAUUUUUCUGUGCUUUUCUUCUUGCUCUCCCCUGCCUUAGCUAGUGAUGCUAUUUCUUUACCAAUUCUUGCUCAUCCUAUUCAUUCUGAGAAGCCCAGGCUGGAGUUCUUUUCUCAGACUAUGCAUGUCCACAUCGAGCUGGCUUCUCACAAUUGGCCCCUCCGUGUAUGUUUUCCUAAACUUUACUUGUAAACAUGUUAAAAUGACCGGAUUUACAAUUAGUGAUCUACACCGUAAUAACAGACCUAUUUGUCUUAUUUCUACCAAAGAAAUGGAACAGGGAGCUCAGAAACAGACCUAUAUGUAUCUGGACACCUGAUUUAUGAUGAAGAAGGCACUGCUGGGCAGUGGGGAACGGAUGGUUAUUUUAAUAAACAGUGCUGGUUCAGCUGGAUAUCCACAGGAAAGAAAUGAAUCUUGAUCAUAUACAAAAAUAAAUUCCAGAGCGAUCAUCAAUCUAAAUGUGGAAAUUAAAACAAAACAAAACUUCAUCUACAAGAUAACAUAGAAUAUCUUUAUAACUGUGGGGUAGCCAUACAUUUCUUAAAGAAGACACAGAAAGCACUAACUCUAAGGGAAAAGAUUGAUAAGUUGGAUGUCAUUAAAAUGAGGAGCUUCUGAUCAUCAAAUGACAUCAGUAAAAGAGAGUGAAGGCAAGCAGAGAGGAGAAGAUAUACUCAGUACCUAUACCUGGCAAGUGGAUUCACAUCCAGAAUAUAUAAAUAACUCCAACAAAUCCAUCAGCAAAAGAAUCCCUUCCCCCAACUGGACAGAAAAAAGUUCCAUACUGAACAAUUGUGAGUUGUAUGCAGUUUUCUUCUCCCAGUGCAAGGUUCUAACCAAUAUGUCCUGGAUCACUGGCACAGCCUGGUGGCUGGCCUUGGGAACUGUCUGGUCUGGUGGCUCUUGGCAUUUUCUUUUGUGUAUGGACUGUGGGCCCUUCCUUUCCCAUGUGCUUCUUCACUUGCUAUUGGUUUGGCCGCAAGAGGCUCCUGUCUCAUGAAUGCCUGUGUCUCUUCCUCUUUUCCUUUGGCUUGUUAACUUUUGAUCAGCUAUUUCGAGAAUAUUUCUCUCUGGCUUCUUCCCCCUGCCCUUCCUUUUUAAUUUCCCUUUUUGUACCUUCUUGUUUAGCCUAAAAACUUCUGGUUGUAAAAACCAUCCUAAAGUGUCUCCAGGUCUUUGGGGGAGUAGGCUUGUUCUCUGGGGCUCCAGAGGCAGAAUGGAGACCUGAAGGCUAAUAUUUCCCUGCAGAGAGAUUUCAUCUCAGUUGUGUUCCACUUGUCUGAACCCUCCAAAGGUGUGGUGGGAGUUAUUGAAUCAAGUGGGGGCUAGACCAUGACUUGGUCACGGUGGUGUUUGUGGAGGGUACUGUGCCUUGGAUGGGCAGCUGGAUUAUGAUAAGCCCUUCCAAUCUUAUCACCAAAGCCCUGGAUGGACCUUUUGUGGAUGUCCAGAGAAGCGCUCUCAACUGGGAGACAAAGCCAGUAUAUCAGCAUGCCUUUUCUGCCUGGCUGGCAGGUCAGGAUGCACACAUAUUAUCAGUACUUCAGUUAAAUCACAUAUACUUGGAAGUCAUUUCGAUACACCUCUCCACCUGCAGCCCUCAGGGAAGUUUUAAAUUUUCCUCAUUUUCCUCUAUGCUUAUUAUUUUCCUCAAAUGGCAGAUGUGUGAGGUAAAGUUUUCCUCUUUGGGUGUGUUCUUUAUUUUAUUUAAUUCCUCACUCUGGCAAUGCUUGCUCUUUCUUUUUUUUUCAUUACAAAUGUAUUGUAUUUUAGACACAUUACAACCAGGAGAACAAACUGGAAGCUCUGUAGGUAUGUUCUGACCGUUAAAAUAUCUUGACAGUGUUAAAAAAAAAUCAGGAGUUUAACAUAAAGCUAGUUUUCUGCCUUGCCCUGAAAACCUGGAUGAUCUGGACUCUUUGGGUCUCUGUUCCCAGAUGGUCCCCAGCAAGCAGAGCCAGGAGGGCAGCCCAUCAGGAGUGGCACGGUCGUUCCACUGGGCACAUCCCCUCCCCAGGCCACUGUACUCCUUCGUUACCUGCCUGGCCCCUGAAGACACUGGAGUUGAUGACUUCCUGGAGUGGGUAAAAUGGGCUUUUGUGAGCUAGCCUGGGAACCAAGCAGUAUAUUUGAUAUUAUUUCAUUGCAAAAGUGGAUCUCAGCUUUUAAAGUAAGCAGAUGUUUUAAAUAUCAGCAAUGCAAAUUUGGGAAUACUUAGCCUCAGCUGGAAUGUGUGUGUUCUCCAUGAUGGCCUGUUUCUGAUGCUUUUCCUGUGCUGUAUAUUGGCUUAGCACUUAGUAGGUACUUAAUAAAUGAUUUACCUCAGGGGGUAACCAAGUGACUGUUGUCCACCAGCUCCCAGGGAGUGAACAGAAAUGCCAUCUUGCUGUGGAUUGGGCCUGUCAGUUCUGCCUGAGACUGGAUCGCUGCCAGAUUUAUCUAGAACAUCCACUCUAGCUCUAGAUAACAGAGAUUGGAAUGUGUCCUCUGCACAGCUUCCCUGUCUGGAGAGCGAGGUAAAGACCUAGACCCCAUCGAGUCGGCCCUAAAGAGGAAACAGGACAGGGAGGCCGGCAUGAAGCCGGCAUGAAGACUGCUUUUCCGGCUGUUGCCUGCCGAACUGGAGUUUGUGGCCGGUACACAGUGCUUGCAUUCCACACCCUGAACAAGGGCGGGUCAAAGUUCAGCUCAUUCCCCUUUAAAGAAAAAAAUUCUUUGUCUUUGGCAUUUCGAAGUUUUGACCCAGAUCAGUCAGAGGCCACGGAAUGCUCAUGAAGUCUGGAGAGUUUGUUUAGUUCCUGAGCCCGGUAGCUGCUGAGGAGCCAAAGAGAGCCGGCAAACUGUUGGGCUUGAGCUGAAUCCUUGCCUUUUCAAGUUUGCGCUGGCCUGGCCUGGCCUCCCCAAGCCUCUGAGGGUGAGUAGAAGGAGCCAGCACCUUUUCCUCACUCUGAAGUUAUCUUUACCCCCUGAAAUCAAACACUGCAUGCAGCACCCUGUAAAACUGCUUCCUUGUAGGCUCGAGCGUGCUUGCUAAGUAAACAUCCUCCCAUGUUUUUGGAACUGAAUUCAUUUCUGCUUCCUGGUCAUCCCAUUCGGGUUUUUUUGUUCUUGGUGCCUUGUAGAAUCAGGUUAAUAGAAGGAAGACCUAGAAUUGGGCAGAGGUACCUAAAAUGACUGUUUUAAUCCUACCUCCUCCAGCCUCCUCAUAUAACUGGCUGUUUUCCACUGUACUCAAGGUUCCGUCUUUUGGCUUAAAGCCCCCCUCCGUCUCUGUACAGGAAAAGCCUCUUCCUUCUUUCUUGCCUAUUAAAUUCUCCGCUCCUUAAAACCACUCCACAUAUGUCCGCAUCAUUUUAUUCAAACCGGAGCAAAACCAAAAACCCUAGUGUUUUUCCAGUCAUCAAAGCCGUAUCAACGGGGUCAUGGGAAGGAAAAGAUUUAGAGGGAAAAUGAAAGGAAACAAAGCCUUGCUGAACGUAGUGUUGUCAUAGGUUUUUGCGAGUCAUAGUUGGUCCAUGCCGCACCCUUGAGAUGGGGACUUAUCUUUGCAGGGACUCAGCUUAGUUUUGCUGCGGUCAUAGACUACAGUCGGCCUCUCUACAAAUUCUGUGGCUUUGUAGGUUCCUCCUCUGACCCUGCCUCGCUUUCGCUUCGUCUCUCAUGACUUAUUUGCCUCUUUUCUCACUUCCACCCACCCGUAACAUCCCCAUCGCCAUGGCAGUGAGCAGCCACGUCACUCACCAAGUUCAUGGGGUGAUGGGCCAGCUCUGUACCAAGCCUACUUCCCUCUAGUUCUGCCUCCUGAAGGAGGAGUCUCCCUGGCAGAGCUCAGAGCCCUUUGUUUAUUUGAUCCUGGGCUCUUGGAUAAAUCAGGAAUGUCCUGACAUGAACUUAGGCAUGUUUUUCUUCCAUGGAGAAGGAAACUACGGCAAAUGGGAUUUAAGUAACCAGAGGACCUUUCUGGGGGACUUGCUUUAGUGCCAUCAAGGCCACAUUCCUUUGGUCAUCAGACCAGUAGGUAACUUCUUUAUUGGCAUGCUCAACCUUGGAGCCCAGAAGGUGUGAAUUUGAAGCACUUUCCCCCCUGCUGGGAGCCUGGCACAGACACUCUAGUCUUCUUUUAAAACUGUGUAGUGCCAUGCUUGUCUUCCAAGUGGUCCUUCUUUCUGCCGGAUGAAACUUUGGCCCAGAGUAGUUGCUUGAAGAAAGCUGCCUGGGAAGCAGAUAUGGGAUAAGAUAGCUGCCUGGCCUCGCAUUCUCAUUCAUCUUCCUGGAAGUUGCAAGGUUCUUGAUGUCAUAGACUUCAUAAGUUACCUGACCCAGGACCUGAAUAUCUCACUCACUUCUGGUCAAGUCUAGGCUCAUAUGGUACAACUGGUUGUCAGGAACCUUUCUGCAUUCUUUGGAUGUAGCAGUGUGGGAACCUGACACUCCCUUGGUCUAUCUGGGUAUGUAGGGUCUAGUGAUUUAGUAUCUCAGUUGUUCUUGGAAGCAUUUUUGCGUCUGAGGGGAGGAGCAGGAAAAUGUUGGGGGCUCUUUGCUUGCCGUAGUGGAGACCUGUGAGUAUCCAAAAACAACCUCACUCCAUCUCUAGAUCAUUGGUGGACCGCCCCUUCCUGGAAGAGUUUCCAGGAGUGUGGACAUCCAUGCAUGAACAUUGUGGAGGGGUUGGGGGUCGGCUAGUGGAUGCUCAUCUUGCUUGACUGCCCACGCUGGAGAGGAGAACCCAGUCAUUGGCCACUUCAGGUCCAGGCUUGGCUGUUGUUCUGUUUUGCUGUUUUUCAUGUUGUCAGAUCUUCUUGGGAACAAAUGACUCAGCAACCCAAAUCUCUGAGGCUGUGUGGCCAAUUACUUGAAAAGUAAUUGAAUGUAUCUACCUAGGCCCUAAAAUUUUGAGCCCAGGAAGGAUGGAUAUCCAGACUGGUUUUACUCUGGAUUCUUCAGGCUGCAGUUCAAUUUGGUUUUUCAAAUUCCUGCCCUGAUAGAAGGAUCUCAUUUGUGGGGUAGGCAGGCAAUGUUUUAAUUACGCUUUUUGUCCUUAAGAAAUUCCAGGGAGAAAAAGGUCCUGGUUUGUGGCCAAAAAAGCAAAAAACAACAGAAAUCAGCUAUGACUCUAAUCCUGGACUUGUCUGUGGCACAAAGAGUUAAUGGGACAGUGGUCAGGGUGAGGAACAUUUUUUCUCAGGGCUGGAGAAGCCCAUAUGGCUCAAGAAAAGAUGUUGCAACAUUUAGUACAGGGCAGCCCUGUCUGGGCACUGGGGGCUGCCACUCAAAGAGUUAAGCUAGUCUUAUGCCUGGGAAGGCCUCAGGGAAGGAGUGAGCCUGAAAGGACAGGGACCUCUAUGCCCCAGAGCAGUGAGGUGCAGGAGGGGUGAGGUGGGAGGGUGUGAGCUGAAAAGUGUGGCCAAGGAAGCAGAGUGUAGGCCCAACUUUUUUUGCCUUGUUUGACCAGCCUUGGCACUGCCCUCCGGCUCUCCAGGGGAAAAGCUGCAGUUCUGCUCUUGCAACACAAGGAGCAGACUGGAGAAUUUAGAUCUGCGUCACAGAGCUGAGAGAGAGAGAGAGAGAGAGAGAGAGUGAGAGAGCGAGCGAGCAAGCAAGCUCCGUCGAUAGGUCUGCUAGCAACAGCCGUGCUGCAGCAGAGAGAGAGAGAGAGAAAUCAAGAAACAAGUCAUAGCAACACCGGGCACCAGGUUCUGCCAGCUCACUUGCUGAGCGUUCAGAUAUCUGUCAGGGCCAGAGGCCUCUGGGUAGCCUAGGCUAGGAGAUGACACGCAAGGUGGCACGGGCGGUUCCCGCGGGGAGGAGGUGGGGUGGUGGUGGGGGGCAGGGGUGGGAGCAAGAGGUUGCGGGGCGAUCGUGGAAGGUUUGAUGGGACCAAAUUCUGGAACAUUCGGGACUGCGGCACCUUACGGCGGGACCAAGAUUUGGGUCUGCGCAGGCGGCGAUGGGUGGUCCGACGGGCUUCAGGACUUGAUGGCGUAACCCCCUUCUUCCCCCACGUAUGUAUUUGCUGGGAUCAGGGGCGCUGUCUCUGUGUAUGUGGGUGCUCUGUCUUUCUCACCUUCUUUCUCGAUUUUUGCUAUUUAUUUCUCUGAGGGAGGGUUUUUUCCCACUUUAAUUUCUUUUCCCUAGUGUCAGCUGCUCAAGCCUGACCAGGGUAGAGGAGAGAGGAGUGAACCAUCCCCUGCUUCCCACCUGACCUCCCAGCCUUUACCCUAUUUCCUUCUAGUGGACAGACAGACUGGUUCUCCAAGUUGUUUGGGUGUCAGCGUCCAUCUGUCUGUCCGUGCAGGUCUUAUGUGGAAGGUAAGGGAGUGAGAAGUGCCGAAAGGAAGACAGAGGGACAGUUUUUUCCCAGGGGUUGCCUUAUUGAAAGGUCUGGCCCUGGAAAUCUGAGGCUGGUGGGGAGCCGAGUGGCCAGGGUGGGGUGUGGGCUGGGAGAAGUGGGGUAAAGCUGGUAGGUUUGUCACUGCGUAGUUGGGAAAAGUGGGGAAUGGUGACGCAGUCACUGUUGCAUCUGGUUAGGAGCUCUGUGGGGACAGGUAGUGAGACUCCUGGGGUCUCUGUGGCCAGCUGAGAGGGGUUAAGGAUGAGCUAAGAAGGGAAGCUAGCAUUUAGAGAUUAAAUGUCAUCCUUUUGGCGUUGGAAAGUUGUUUACCUUGCGCUCUCUGUGUCUCCAUGUUGGCUCCCUUCCAGUUCACAUGUGAUGGCCUUCCCUGUACUGCUGCAUCAUUAACUAAGUGACUGAGCUGGCCUUCCAUUGGCCAGGGGAGGGCUCUCCCUCCAGACACUUCCUCUGAUUGGUGGGUGGGCCAAUGGCAGGUGAAAAGCUUUUUUUGAUUGGCUCAGGGCAGGGUAUCAAAUCUGAAUUUGCAUUUCACUUGCUUAAAGGGGAGCGGGGAGAAGCCCAGCAGCUUUCUAAAAUCUCUUUAGGGGUGUGCGUAGGCUCCUGUGUCUAUGCCUGCUUUUGACUGCCCAGUUGAAGCCUCUUCCUAUGCCUUUUAAAAUUUCACGCACUAUAAGGAGGAAGAGCUCAGGGCUCCCAAAACUUUUUAUUUAGAGGGAAGAAUGCUAGGGAGAUGGGUAUGCAGAGGGUUGACCAAAUUGGAAGAAAAUAUUUAUUCUGUAGUUUGGUAUUGGAAAAGGGAAUUUUCCAAUCAGCCACACCUCAGUGUUGCGGCAAAAUAAUUCUUGGCUCCCCUGGAAACGCAUGGGCAAGGUAGGGCAGAGCUGCUGCUGCUGAUACUGCCACCACCCUGGGCUUCCUGCUGACUCCGGGCUACUCCCUGGGGACAACAGAUUUGCAUUGACGUCCGGGGCUGUCCAGAGGCCCUCAAGAGCCAGUUGUGAGCUGAGCCCAGUAUGGGAAAGAUCUACCUUCUGGAAGCUACUACUACAUGGUGCUUGGAAAGGUGAGGAUGGGGGACUGACCCCAGGAAAUUGCUCAAAACUCCGUAUUUGGUGGGAUUUCCAGAAAAGUCAGUGGGAGACGGGAGGUUUGGAGGCCCUGGGUUAGAAAGGUUUGUCAGUCUAGGGAAUGAGGAGAAUCAGAAUAAAACUAGGGCAGCAGGCUGUUCGCCUUUGGUUGGGGGAGGGAGGCCUCGAAAAAUCAGGGUCCGGCUCUCUAACCUGUCUUUGUUGCAGGUCUCACGUUUGUGGGGAGGGGGUUUACCAAGCCCUGCGCCAUGCGCAGUGGCCCCCACCCGUGACUGCGCAUCUGGAAGCGCAGUGCGCCCUGGGUCUCUGGCCUAGGACGAGCACCGCCCUUCUUAUUACAUAACUGAGGGCAUGGCACGCGCCUUCUCGGCCCUUCCUUGCAACCCUACCUUCUUGCUCCCCAGGGCCCAUAGAGCUGGGGAGGGUCUGACUGGGGAGCAGUGAAGGACUACAAUUCCUGGGAGGGCUAACUCUUGUCUAGUUACUGGCAGGAGCCAAGCUUGAGGACAAAAGUGGUGGUUUUCUAGCCUCAUCUUGGGGAAGAGGCUACAGAACAUCCUUCUGAGUGCCCCAUACCACCUAUGGCCCCUAGGGCCUCUCUGGUGGAAGGGGUGGCACCCUUCUUUCACUCAUGUCCCAUCUGAUUUUUGAGAGGAUGUUUCUGAAGGAAAAGAUGUGAUGAUUAUGGAGGGCUUGGUUGGGAGGUAGUUUUGACAGUUUACUCCCCUUGUCACUGACUUCCCCUCUUUUCCCUGGGUGGGUUUAUGAUCUUUCUGGACUCCUCUGAUGAGCUGCCAUUUUGGAGCCAUUUCUGCUGGUCUCUGACAUGGUGGCGUUGGUUUUUCUGUCCUGCUGUGCCAGUUCCGCAGAGUGGGCGGGGGGUGGGGGCUAUGACGGAGGAGGGGAAGGGGGGGCAAAAGCACAGCAGAGGCGGGCACAGUGGUGGCUGCCGCAAUGAAGGUGGCUCCAGGGGCAGAGCCGCCUAGUCCCACCCUUGGACACAGUCCUGGGUGGGGAUUCAGGUGGAAGGCGUCUGGAUAGGGGUUCACCACCUGGGCCCGGCUUUGCCAGAGCGUGGGUUUCCCAUGUCCUCAUCAGCCUGAUGCUUGGAGUAGUUCGGAAAAGCUGAGUGUCUGAAUGAGAGUGGAGGCAGAGGCUCGGCAGCUCAUCUCAGACGUGUCAGACCCGUGGUUUGUGUUCCCCAAAUAGGCUCUGUCUCCAGCAGCCUCCCUGUGGGGACAGGGAAGUGAGGUCCAUGGCAGCAUUGAGGAUCUGUUCGGAUGGUCCUGCCUGCUUACUGUUUUUCUUCUCUUUCUCCUCCAUGCCCCCUGCCAGUGCCAUGGUUCCAGCUGUAGUCCUCUUGUGAGGCUCCCCGCUGCCCAUUCCCCCUCUCCAGGCCCUUCUGCGUGCAGCGGCCAUCUUGUCUUUCUUGCUCAGAAACUUAAAAUGGUUUCUCAUCAUUCCCAGAGUAAAAUUCCUUCCCUUUAGCGUGAUGCUCAAUGCUGGCCGUAACUGGCCUUAGGUUUCCUGUACAGUCUUACCUCUCUCAGUUUCUUUUGGUGGACCAUGGGUUCCAACAAAACCAGGCAACUUCCUUUUCUUGCUUUUCCUAUCUGUUUUCACCAGUGAUGUUUUCCAUGCCUCUUCUCCUCUGCAUCCACCUGUGGCAGUCUCACUUUCUCCUUGGACCUCUCCUGAUUUCCUUUGCAAGAAGUUCUCAUAACCACCCCUGCCCUUUCGGCCAAACUUCCAUACAGUCUGUCCCUUUUUAUGGUACUUUUGUUGUGUUAUGAUUCCUUGUGUGUAAGUCUUAUGUCACCUAUCAGAUUGGCAGCUCCAGGAGGGAGGCUAGAGAAAGGAGAAGGAAAACAAAUACCUAUUUGGUGCCUUCUGUUUGACAGAUACCAUGUUAGACACUUUCCCUGCAGUUACUUCAUUUAUUCCUUUCCAUAGCCCUGUGGGGAGCAUCCCAUGUCUAGUAAGUGCCUGGUCAUGACUAGAGCUCUUGUCUUCCAAAGCCUUUACAUUUUUCCUCUCUGAAUUAUUGGUGUUUACAAGAUGGCUGUUAUGAAGUAGAUCCCUAAAAUUUGUCUAUUUUAAGGAAUUUUGUAAGUCCCUAAUGCUCUGAGGGAGUUUGGAUGGUCAAUCUUGUGUCUAUGGUCUGGGUCCCUCAGCUGUUCCUUGACACUGUCAUUAACUUUCUCCUCUUCCUUUGUGGUCAGGUUCACUCAGGAUGAUGGCUUUUUUCUUGUAGCUGAAAUCGAUGGAUUAACUGACUCAGUUAUCCUGGUUGCCUUCCUCGUACAAGAGGAGGGAGAGGUGGAGUGGGAUAUAGCAUUUUCAAAGCCAGAAUAAGCUCCAGAAUUAGAGAGCAGGGAGCAGAGACACUGGACUUGAACAGACCUAGGUUUUCAUUGUGAUCCUUCUUCUUCUUAGCUGAGUGACUUUAGACAAGUCAUAUGAUUUAAGUUUUCAUGUCCUCAUUCAGUGAGAUGGAGCUACUACAACUGUUAUACAGAAAUGCCUAAUAUAUUUGCAGCAAAUAGGUUCCCAUCCCUACCCAGUGGUUUAUCAGGGAGUUAAAAUGGGAGUGUAGCAGGGGGCUAGAGAAGAAAUGGGGGAGACAGGAGCUUCUGUGCCCUAAGUGGUGUCACAGCAGGGGCGCGGAGGAGGUAACCUAGGCAUUACGCCCUUCAAGCCUGCAAGGUGGUACUGUCCCCCACCUGGCGUAAAUACCCCUUUACUUCUGCAUCAGGAACUUGCUGUGGCAUGGAGUGGUGGGGGCUGGUGACGGCAGAGGGAGGGUCAGUGAGCUUUCCUGGGAGUCUUUUGAUGCCAGGUUAGUUUCCCUUCUUUCUGAAGCUCAGCAGUGGCUGCCUGCUUCCUGACGCUGCUGAGUCCCGUGGGAGGGGAGCUGGGCACCCUGAAGCCCCUCGUUACCAAUUUGGGGGCCGCGGAGCAGAGAGUGACGACAGCCAGUGAGUCGUCAGUCGACGGCAAUGGGGACCCUGGUGACGGCUGCUUUGUUGUUUUUUUUCCUCUUUGGAAGAUGACUCAGUGUAUCGGGAGCCGGGAGAUGGAGCUCUCAGCAGAGUGGCCAGGAUGUUCUGUCAACAUGAAAGCUACAAAAACAGCUCGGGGCUCUGAGCUGAUCCUUAGCCUGGGGUCAUUUUCAGGGAGGGCUGGACAGAGAAGGCGGCCACUGCCCGGGCAUCAGGAUAGGAGUGACACCAGAGGACUCAGGAGAGUGCAGCUUGCUCUGUGAGUGGGUGACAACCUCUUGGCGACUCAGGCUCAGCUGAGGAUGGUGCCAGUGUGCCGGAGACAGCCGUCAUACUGCCGGAUAGAGUGGCUCACUUGCAUGUAUUUGGAACAAAAAAAGGAGAUGCCUGGCAGCCCCUCUCUCUGCAGUGCUGUUGAGCCACCAAUUUUUGUGGUUUUGUGACCACAAGUGCUGACUGAUGCGACAUGACCCCAGUCUUGUCAGUGAAUCAUCCCCAGGCUGCUUACUGGAAACUAGAUGCAGCAAGGAAAUAGGAUUUAACCGCUCUCUGCCUCCCAGGUAAGUCCAGUGUGGGCUGCUCCCUCCAGCCUUCCCCCAUCCUCCUUCCUUCCCAUGAACACCAUUUUCCUUAUUCCGCCAGGGAAUCCUCAGACGUCUCCAUUCAGAAUCUCCCAAACAAUUGUUCUCUUUUUUGCAUUCUUCUCCUUCUGGCUUUUCUGUGAAUGGGGUUAGUAACCAGCACAGGGUUGGGGGCAGGAUGGGCAGCUGAAGUGGUCGGGCUGUGCAGACGUGUGGGAGAUAGCUGGGUAGUGUUGCUGGGUGUGGCAGUUGGCAGAGCAUUUGGGCCUCCCACAGUAAUAGAAACUCUCUUUGGCUCCAGCAUCCAGCAAGAGCUUCUGGGUUUAACCCCUCGGUAAUCCUGGGAGCCUUCCUGGUGCCUGGGGAUUCUCUCCCCUGUGUAGUCUCAGUGGAUGGCCUGUCUUAACUCUAGAUACAUUUUGCCUUGAGGGGGCUUAGUCUAGGUUGGUGGUCUGGAGUUUGGACUGGGCUGAGCAGUGAGCUUUGGGACUCUCCCUAAUUUUGGGGUUUCUUUGAAUGAGCCACUUUCUUCCUCUAGGCCUUCAUUACCUUUGCCUUAAAAAAAAAAUCCCUGGUCCAGUAAGCCAUUGCAAAGCAUCUCUAGGAAGUUGACAAAGAAAUGCUUUUCUUCUGCCUCACUUGUUGCCGAUCACAGUAAUAGCAAUGGUGAUUAAAAAUGAAAAAUGAUGACGGCCUGCAGAAUCGGGGAGGUCAGUGGCAUCAUUGAUAGAAUUCACAAAGCAGACUCUCGGUGCCCGCACAUCACUAGGAAGUCUGUCUCCUAUCGAGUAGAUGACUACAGCAUUCUUGGCCAGUAAAGCCAGUUGGAAUUAGCCAACAGCAGAUUGGUCUGGGCUCUAAAGAUAAAAGGAAUUAUGCUGGGUAAUUUUCGGAGGUACCUAUGGGAUCCUACCUCUGGCCACACAGUGGUCGCCUCUCUCUGCUCAUAUGUUUUGGUGGGGGUGGGGGGUUCCUCUUCCCCAUGCUGCUCCCGUUGCUAUCCAGGGAAGACUGGCCAAUUCUGCUUCCUGUUAUUUCUUCUUCUCCUCUGUCCAUUUGAGAUGAGUCUCUAGGUUGGCUGUGAACAGCCUGAGGAAUCCAGGGCUGUUUGGAAGAAUCUGGUGUCUCUUCCUUCAAGUACCCUGACAGGUCUCAGCCCUCCAGCAGUACUACAGUGAGGGAUGGCAGGGGGUGUUGGAGUGGAGAGAUAUCGACUUGGGUGCAACUAGGGAGACUAAAAGGAGCGAGCCACGUCCCUCAAGAAGUGUUGGCUAGAGUCUGGCCAGCCCUGGCUGUAGGGCUGGAGCCAGACAUCGCUGCUGGCUGUGCUUGGGAGUCUCAGCCCUCAUAUGUGCAGUGCGUCCCUGGGCAUAGCUCUUCGUGAUCCCCACUCCCACGAAUAGCCCUGUCCUUGGUUAGAUUGGGAAAACCAGGGUGGGAAGUAAAGGGGAGGUUGGUUUUGCUCGUGGUCAUACAGUUAUCUCAGUGGCCUCUGAUGUUUCCAGAAUUGGAAUUGGUGCUUCCCUGCUGAUUUUCCUAUUUUUGUCCCUCAUCUGGUUCUUUUCCUCCUUGCUCACCAGCCUGGGUUCUACACACAUGACAUGGGGCAUUGUGUGUUCCCAAUGAGGACAGCAGAACAGUUGGUAUCUCCUGAGAGAGGGGCCAGCAUAUCUGGCACUUUUUUCUUGACCUUUGAAUUUCUGAGGUCUGGGAGUCAGGAGGCAGCAUGGGGCCUCUCCAUCCGGGAUCCAGCAGAGGUUAACAGAGUUGGUGGCUCUGGAGCUGAGGUGGUGUGGCUUGGCUGGGAGUUGUGGGGGAGAGGCCCUGCCAGGGGCCCUGAUUGGUCAGUACCUUCUCUAUUCCAUUGAAUCCUGGUCCGGUCAGCUCUGUGAAUUGUUUAAUGCAUAUCUUGGCUCUGUCCCCUGGCUCGAGUGUCCCUAAGGCUGCAGCCACAGCUUUAGAGAGGAUCUGUUCCUUGUGCUGGUCACUUUUUUUGGCGUUACCUCCCUCUGAGAUAUGUAAGAGAUACCACCCUUUCCCACCAGCCGGCUGUCUGUGGGAGGCCCUCAUUUUGCUUUGCUUUUCUGAGACAUGGAGUGACUGUGAGGAAAGCAUGGACUGAGUUUGCAUUCUUGCUGGCUUCUUCCACAAGAGCUGUUCAUGGGCUGAUAAAGCCAGAGAACACCUCCAGGACCCCAUGGCCUGUGCGGAGCUUGGUACUGUAGUGUCAAGCCUGCGGGGAUGGACUGGGGACACGGGGGCAGAUAGAGCCACGUGGGGAGCUGGUGUGUGUGGUUAGAUCACAGGAGCAAGUCCAGGAGGGUGUGGGAGGACAAGUCCAGUGCUCAGCCAGGGCUGCCUGUCGUGGCCCAGGAUGGAUGUGUGCGUCUCCUGUGAAGGAUUUGCAUCUGAGUGCCUGGUACUGAAGGUAGGAUGGUGCCCCGAUCAGGGUCUAUAAUGAGGCAUGAAGGUAUGAGAUGGGCAUCAGAGUUGUUGGUCCAAGGGAAACUGACCUUUUUUAAGGCCCUCCUCUCCUUAUCUGAUUUCAUCCUCAGAACAACCAUAUGACGUAGGGGUCACUUCCCUUUUAUAGUGAAAGAAACAGAUUAAGUGACUUAAUCCAAGGUUAUGCAUUUGGUAAGUGAGGUUGUUGAGAUUUAAAUGCAUGCACUUCUUAUUCCAAAGCCUCUACGUUAUCUUUACUCUUUUGGGCUGAAGUCAGACAUUUUUGUGAACUAAGAUUCUCAGAGGACUGAUGUGAACCAGAGUGAAAAGGCAGACACCCGAAGGAACUUUCCAGUCACUGGGGACGAUUGUGCCGCAUUCCUUUUGGGGGAGGCAGGGCAGACCCAAAUGCCCUUUGGUAGCCAUGGACAGGCAGAGCUGAGUAAGGCCAGUACAUGGCGUCUGCUGCUGUGUACGGAGCCUCUGCUAUAUGCCAGGGACCGUGCCAGGCGCUAGAGAUACAGAACUCAGCAAAGCCAACUUUCCCCUUUCAUGGGGCAUACAUUCUAGUGUGGAGAGACACCACUAAUGAUUUUUUAAAAGAACUAAAAAAUGUACAGGAUAGACAUAUAUGGAGAUUGUGUGGGGAUGAAAAGGGGGACCCCCCACACACAUAAAGGGGAGAAUCCAGAUGAUGGUCAGAGGGAUCUAGAGACUUAGGACCUCAGCCAUCUGAAGCCACAUCAAUUGAGCUUUCCUUCAGGGAGUUAGGACUGACACAAACUAACCCCCUCUUUUUUCCUAAUAACUUGGGAAAUCCAUCCAAGGUCUCCAUGGCUUACAGGAACUUGUUGUGAGUCAGGGAUCAAGGUGGAGUAGAUGUCAAGCCUUUGGUCUCCAGCAGACCGGUUCUCUCCUGUCUGCCACGGUUGCUGUUGGCCUUCUGCCUCACACCUUCCCAGGCACCAGCUGACUUCUUUCCUCAGCCUGGUCACUGUGCCCCAUACUUGUCCAUGCAGCACAGGGAAACGUGCAGGUUAGGUCUUUGCCGAGCCACUGGUCAAAUGUUCCUGCAGGAGGCUGGUUCUGAACUCAGCCUGUCCUACCAGAACGAGCCGUUCCCACAGCUAAUCGUCUCACGAUAGGGAAGGGAUGGGCACCAGGCAUAGAGAAGUGACCUGUGCCAGAUGCUUGGUUGAGCUGUGUCUUGAGAGGUGGAGGCAGGUUGGUGGUGCUGGGGACAGGGCAGGCAUGUGUCAUGUGUUCAGCGCAUGUAGCUCCAGGGCUCGGGAUUUGUUUACUUGGUGGAAGAGGCAGCGAACCUGCGGAGUCAGGCCAUGUGAUUCUUCGCUCCUUGGCUGAUCAUGGACAGCUGACCCGCCGGACUGCACACACUGCCAUCUGCUGCCGGGGGUCUGAAGUUGCACAGGGAUGAGGUAGUGUGGUUGGGGGUGCUCAGAGAGGAGGAGGGUCAGGAAAAGUGGGGUUUGUGUUGCUCUGUGUUGAGGAGUCAGCCGACCUCGAUUCUGGUCCUAGCUCUUGUUGGUAAAAACUCACUCACUUUCCUCCUUUCAGCUCCAGUUUCAUUAUCUAUGAAAUGAGGGGAUGGAACCAGAAUCUCUUUGGAGGUUCCAGCUCUAUCCUGGGGCCUCCCUGAAUGUUCAUGGAGAUGUUCCUUAGCCAAUAAUUCAGGAUACGGAAAACUAGGCCCAGGUUUCCACAAGAGAAGGGGAGGGAUCUUGAUGACCUGUCUCAGAGCAGCUGAAGUGGUACUGUCAGAAUUAGGGUGGGUGGGUGGGAGGAGGUAGUUUUUAAAGAACCUCCCAGAAGUGGAAGCAGAGGGCUGGAGGUUUCACGAAGGUGUUGAUGAGGAUCCACUAGGUGGUAGGGGACAUGGCUACGUGCUUCCCCCGGGAGGCUUGUUAGAGAUGGGAUUAUGUGGGAGCUGCUGGGGGUGCCUGCUGUCCUGCAAGGGGCUGACCCAAGGGACCCUGCUCUAGGAAAGAUGCUCUGUCCUGUCUGGCCCUAAACCCUGGAGAGAGAAUGCAGCUGUGGAUUGAGGGAGGGUCUGUGCCCCUUGCUGUCAGGAAGUUUUCCUUUAUAUUUAGCCUUCUCUUUUCAUGUGUUUUUUGAGGCCCUCGACUAAAAAAUUAAUUUUAAAAAAUAACAAUGAAAAAAAUAAAAAAUAAACAAAAAUAUCUCAGAGCCACUGGUUCCAUUUUGGCUUUUUAGUCUUGAGUCACUCUUAAAAAGAUAGCAAAAUAAAACACAUGCAAGAAAGCCGAAGGUCCCAGGCCCAGCCAGAUGGGGGCUAGGAGUGGCUGGGACUCCGGCCUAGCUUCUCCAUGGCAGCGUUAGUCCCAGACGUACACCACUUCUGCAAGGCUGUGUGGGUAGGAGCCCCUGGGGCUGAGGGGGCACAUUGUGCAAUCUGCUAAGCAGAAUGUAGAGUUUUAAAAUAGCUACAUUUCUCCAAGACAGUAUCUGCUUGCCGCUUUGUGGGAUGUUUACCUGGGAUUAAUAAUAGCUGAGUGCCACCCCACUGCCAGUAUGGAAUAGCAAACAGCGAUCUGGGCUAGGACUCAGGCAGGAGAGGAAUGGAGUAAUAACCAUCGUAUCAACUCACAUAGUUCUUUUCACACUUGCUGGCUCAUUUGGUCCUCACACAACCCUGAGAGGGUAGGUGGUCUUAUCCUUGUCGUUGGUAAAACUGAACCAGAGAGUCAAUCCUGCCAAGAUCUGACUACUUGUAGCCGUUUCUCGUGGGUCUCCCAUCUAGGUCCUCUGACUUCAGCUGUUAUUUCUCUGGGUUCUGACUAGUGGGGCAGGGACAGGAGUAGGGGAGUGGAGUCUUUGGCAGUUUCCUUAAUUUCUGAAGGCCUUAGAGGGCCUAGAGAUGCCUUUUCUGUGUGUUGAAUGGGAAACGAAACCUCAGCAUGUCCAGGUUUUCCAACUCUCUGAUUCUUCAGACUUCUUGGAGCUCUUGUGAGAACUCGCUUGCACUUCUUGGCUGGGAAGCCAGCCACUCACCAUGUUUUCUUGGAGAGGUUUCCUGCAUUUGGAAGCUUCUGGAAUAUGUGAUACAUCAAACCACUGUGACACAUCUGUAUGGCACCUCAUGCCUAUGCACACAGGCAUGAUUCUGCUGAGUGCAGCUCACUUAGAGAUGAGGCCCAGUGUAGGGUCUUUGAAAUUUUUCCAACACAUUUGUAAGAGAUGCCCUGAGCCUUGCCCAGCAUGCAUGUUGUGUGUAUGCUACCUGUUUGCUGGCUAAUGUACAGCGCCUGCUGGAACCCUUGGCUAAUGUACAAUUUAAAGUAAGGGACUAGAAACACUGGCUUUAGUUUUGAGUGUCUGCUUCAUGAUUGACUUGAAAAAGUAGGGCUUACCCACAGAGAGAAAGGUGGGUAAGAGAACUCGUGGGUGUCAGUUUUCCUUAAAGGCAGAGCAUAAUCCCCCACUCUUUAUAAGGGCUGCUAAGGCGGAGUAUUGGACAGCAGGACUUCUUGGCCAGUUAGCCCUCUUGAGUGACCUUUGUUUAAAUAGACCCAGAACUUGUAUGAAGGAGGAGAUAAUGGUUUAUCUUUAUUUACAGCGGAUUUAGCCAUGAUGGUUUAGGCUUUUUCUGGGGGUAUUCCUUUAGGACAAUUAAGGUUGGACAGGGGCAGCAUGCAUGUGUGUCUCUAAAUGUCUGUCCUUUGGUAUUUCCUGAAUGCAUCCUUGGCUCAUACAGAAACCCUGUGAUGGGGAAUCCACAGCGGAAUUGUUUUAGUGGAUAAAGCCUCCUGUAGCUUCAUGUGUGAAGAUUUGUCAUGUUGGAUCCAGUUCAUUCUGUCCACUUGAAGGAUGGAAAAGAGAGUGGGCAGAACUUGCAGCAAGGAGAGUGAUUUGGGCUAGACUUCUGGGAGAACUGUGCAUCACCUCUGCUGAGGGUUCCUGAGGAAAGAUGAAGCCUCUUUAUUUGAGGUAGGAGACUGGGUGUCCUCCACAGGAUCCUCCCAGUCCCAAGUCUGUGGCACUUUGAGACAGUCCCUGGAACAGCAUGAGGUUUGGGUGCCAGGAUCUAGAGCAGGCAUUUCUCUCCAUCUUUCCCAUCUGCCUUCAAGACAGGCCCAAGCUGGAUGCAAUUGAGGGGAUGCAUGGGCAGGGUACACCAAUGUGAGCAUCGAACCUGGAGCUUUGACCUUGUUUCCCUUUGCAGAGAGAACUUCUGGCACUGAUCUUGUAGGAACUGGUGUUAUUUGCAUAUAAAAAAAGAGAAAGGCAUGUUGUCCCUCAUCUUUUCCAGGAAAGAGUGUUGAGCUGCUCUAAUCCUAUGGUGGGGAGGGAGGAGGGCCGUGUAGAGGACGCAAGGCCAGACAUGGUUUGCUGGGAAGAAGGUAGGAGGUGGGAGAGGAACAUCCCAGGGCAGGCCCACAACUCUGGGAGCCACAGACAUUGCCUGCUAUACUAAAGGCAAAGGGAUGUGUUCAAAUAGGCCUACUAUUUAGAGGUAACCCACAGUCUGAAAUAAAUCAGUUAAUGGCUAAAUAAGAGUUGUAUUAAAUAUGGAAAAUCAUAUUUUUUGUGUGUCAUCACUACCUACAGAUUUAGCAUCAACAGGCCUGAAAGGCUGAGGACGCUGAAAUGGGCCCUGUCCGUAAGAUCAUGCUUAUUUUAUAAUGACUUUUUGUCUCUUUUCGUUCCUAUUUCCCACUCUUUCUUAUUCCUUAGGUCUACGUGAAUAUUUAUUUAUGCAGUUGUGUUGUUUCCUUGGGGUACAGUUCUUCCAGUGUCAUUGGCAUCAAUGAAUAUGUGACUUUGAUUUCAAGUGUAAACAAACCACUGGUUCAAGGCAGGGAUGAGCCAUCUCUGAGACAAGGGCUCCAGCAGCUGCCUACAGACGCCCUUCCCCCAAUAGCCCUGGACUGUUUCGGCCAGACGCCUGAGACGAGAGUCAAGGGUGUUCUUGCAGGGACCUGCUCAACGCCAUGUCAUGUGUCCUGCCUGGAGGGUGGUGCUCACACAUGCAUCUUCCAGCCUUAUUAGCUGCUACUGCUUUUCAGCUUGACCUGAGGAGUGGUAUUGGAAGUUUGAGACCAUACAUCCCUUGCUAGGUGAGAAGGGGGUCAGAGAGGAAAGGCACAGACGGAGAAGAAGGGAACGCAGGCUCCUGGCCACUAGCCUCUCUCAAGACAGGUGAACUUUGUGUUAAGCAAACUCAUUUAAUAUUUUGAGCCUAAUAGAAGUUAUUUGUAUUUUCUCUCCUCUCUUUUCCCUCCUCUCUCUCACUCACCCUCCCCCUACUCCCCAGCCUCCAAAGAAUUUAAUCUGCUGGACAACAAACAAUACUGUUAUAAAACUUUGAAAACAAGAGGGCGCGGCCUCCCUGACAAGGAGAAGGGCAUGCCGGGUAACGGCCUGAGGGAGCAUGCCAGGCCUGAGAUGGAGCCGGGCGAGAGCCCAGUUGGCUGGGUACCUGGGCGCCUGCCCCUGCAUAGCCCACUAGCCGCGCCAUCCCCAGGCCAGAGGGGAAGGAACCGAAACAAAAGGGGGGGCAGAGAAACGCUUGAAAAGGGAAGUUGCACAUGUUCCCCUCUCUCUGAUCUGGUGGGAAUGCACUAGACUGUGAAACUUCCUCCUCCACCUCUUCUCCCGAGUCCCUCCCCCCCCUUACCCUCCUUCCUCCUCUCUCCUCCCUCCUUUCUCCUCCUUCCUCCUCCUGCCUUCUCCUGCUACUCACUGUUCUUGAGCCUGGCAGACAGAGGUCCUGAUAGCAGAAUGAGGCUGGAAUAGCACCAUAGGUGCAGCUACCAGCUGGGCCAGCCAAAGGGGAAGUAGAGAAAGUGGGCUCGCAGUUGGCUUUGGAUUCAAACCUACCCUCUGUCUGGCCCAGCCUCCCUCCAUUCUAUUAGGGAAGUGGAACCACGUCACAUCACAGGGUGUGCCCAGUCCAUGUGUGUGGACCAGGUGUGUGCCCAGGUACUGGGGAGAACUGCCACUCAGAGGUUAGUUCAGGAAGCACCCUGGGCUUCCUGGUGCUCCCCUUGGGCUGUGCUCUGCUCUGGGGAGGGUGUUUGACUUGUUGAAAUGCUCUCUCCUUUGAGAUGCUGUGCUCUCCCUCCAGGGAGGAGCAGAGGCUGUGCUGCAAGAGGCUGGGGCAUGUCUCUGGAGGAGCUCUUGGGAACAGGAACGUGCUUCUCCCAGCGUGAGCAGCCAUGCCGUCUUGUGAGUGUGGUGUCUGGUAGGAUACUGCAUCUGUUAGUUACUUCUCGGUGGCUGAAGGAGGAGGUCACCAGUUCUGCCUGGGGGAGGUGGGGAAGCUGGGCUUUGGGGCAUCUCCCUGCCUACCUCCAGAGUUAGAUUUCACCUGAGACUGUGGUUUCACUUUUGAGUCCAUCUUCACUGAGUCAAGCAGAUGAUUUAGGAAUGAGCAGGGAGCAGCAUUGGUGGUUUGCCUUUGGAUCUGCAUUGGUUUGGACCCAUGAACUCUGUGGUGGGCAUUGUGUUUGUGUAAUAGACCAUUGGUAUGCUCAUUUUUCCUCUUACGGAAAGCACUAGCUUCCUUGAAAGCAGUUCAGGGCCAUGCCCAUCCUUCUGUGCCAGAGCUGAGCCCUUCUACUGGGGGAACAUGGAGACACCCAAGCUCCAGUCUUCAUUCCACUCCUCCUCCUUCCCUUUGCCCUUCACUGUCUCCUGCUGUCCUCCCGGCUCAUCCCAGGGGCAGGGUAACCUUGGUGCAUCCUCCCAUCCAGCCAGCAGUCCCGACCCAGGGCCCCCGUGCCUGGACUGAGUCUGGGGUUUAUGUCAGUAGUGUUAAGGGAGGGAUGGAAAACUGAACUUUUAGGAGUGCAUCUGCCUAGGAACAUAGACCUCCAAACCUCUGACCCAGGGGAAACCAGAAAAACCGAUGCUGGGUCCACAUAGGCUUGGAAGGCUGUUACUUCUUGCCUUGUUACCUGAGUAGGAAUUUGAGGGGCACUGUGGGUUUGGAGGAUGUGAUUCCCACACUGGGGCUCAGGGCCUGGGAAAUGCAGUGGUCCCUGGGUUCUGAGUCCUCCUUUGAAGGCCACCCUGCCAGAAAGGAAGAGCCUGAUGGAGGUUUCUGGGGACUUUGGGCCAGCCGGUAACUCCGUGCUCCCUCCGCUCCACCCUUGGCCCCUCAUGUGUAUACCCUUCCUUUUAUCACCCUUCCCUCUGAUUCACAGCCCCCACCCUGACAGCUAAAGACAGAAUGCCCAGGCUGCUGCCUAGAAUGACAGGAAGCUGGGCUGCCCUCUCAGUUUAUACAUGCAAUGGCCUGGGACUGUCUCUUGAAGGCAAGACAUUCCCCUUUUACAAAAGAGCCUUCCCCAGGCCCCUCUCUCACCAAGAUGAGCUCUUCCUUGCUGCCAGGAGCCCUGAAAUCAGCAUUCCCAGAGGAAAAAAGAUGGCCAUCUGGGCUUGGCUUCCGGCUCCCCCCAUCUGGCUGGAACACACAUCAGUCACGUAAGUAGCUGUGACUCAGCACCCAGCACUGCCUUGGCAGAACCUUCCCACGUUCUGGAUUUGCACACACUGUGGUAGCGCAGCACAAGCAAGCAGGGUUAGGUAACUGGGGACCAGUGUCUGUUUGUUCAGUGGGUUUGCUUAUGGAUUUCAGAAACAAGGAUUCCCUCACCUUCCCAUUUUCCUCCCAUGUUAUUUUUUAGGUACCAUGCUAGGCUUUAAAGACAAAGCAUCAUUUAUAGAAUGAAGUAGAAGCUGUCUUUGCAAUCUCCAAACUGUUUUUAACCAACAGCCUGUAGAUUGUAUUUAACCCUCAGAUGUGUUUGGCCUGCACAGGUUUUGGUUUGAGACAGGGCUUCACUCUGUAGUCCGGGCUGGAGUGCAGUGGCACGAUAUCAGCUUGCUGCAACCUCUGCCUCCUAGGCUCAAGCAGUUCUCAUGCCUCAGCCUCCUGAGUAGCUGGGACUACAGGUGCGUGCCACCACACCUGGCUAGAGUUAUUUUAAUGUAUCUGAUUUUGCAUGCAUUUGGACAAAAUAUGGCCUCUCCAGUUCACUGUAUUUCUGCUGCAUGCUGUUGCUGCUUCUCUGUCUCAGGUUUCCUGCCCAAGCCCUCUGAGCAUUUCAACGUGCUGUGAGCAGCCUACCUCAGCCUCCUCUCUUUACACAUGAAGACACUGAGGCCCAUUCAGGGCAAGUGGCAGGUCCCUGUUCUCAGAGUUGGGGCCAAGCAGGUAUUAAAACCAUUGUGUUCUGAUUCACUGUGUGCCCAAGCAGAUUAAUUCCCUGGUGUGAGGUCAAGAAGCCUCCAGGUAGAAUGUGGGGACAGAAGUGGACCAGGCUGGAGUAUAGCUCCCACACCUUUUCUCUGCGUGGCAGCACUCACAAGACUGACAUGCCCACCCUUCUGGGUGGGUGGUUUUCCUCCCCAGACAGCCCUGCCAACCCUUUCACCUUCAGCCAGUUUGUUUGGAGUUAUUAGGCUGAGGUGGGUAAAAACCCAUCACCCUCCUUGGAUGGCAGAGCUCUCAGCAGGCUGGGAUUUUCAUGGGCUGCCUUCUUACAGGUCUAGGUGGCCUUCAGGCAUGGUGCCAGGGAAAUCAAGCCCCUUCCAGCCCUUACCAAACUAACUGGCUGCUUCCUAGUAGGGAACAGCCACCAGCUUGUUUCAGCGAAGAGUCAUUGCUCAGCUGACUCUGAGAGGAGAAAACUGGUUCUGUUGGGAGGGCUGAGACCUGAAGGACCCCUUUUAUCCAGUGGAAUUGGAAAGGCAAAGGAUUUCAAUACUAACAUGAUUUUUUCUCCACUUCUUUUAGAGUGUUUAAUUAAAGUGAUGCAUUGUUAAUGGCUUCUUAUCUCUUCUUCCAGAGAGUUAAGAGUUAAAUUUUAGAAUCCAGGAGUGGGGACCCAGACUGGCUUCUGUUAACUCCCUCAGUCGCAGUGGCAUCUUGCUAUGCACAGCCCCUCUGCCGUACUCCGAAUGGUCCCUUACGGGUAGCAGGAGAGACAUUAAAUAAUCACACUGAUGACCAAGUGAGAGAAGUGGUUUUUGAAGGAAAGAACUUGAGGCUGGCAAGGACCACUUAACCUUCUAGCAAGGGCUGGACUCAGGGAGGCUUUCCUGAGCUGCGGGGAGGAUGACAGGUUCCCUGGAGUGGUGGUGGGUGGGGGCGGGGCUGAGGGGUGGUAGCUAAGGGAGGGUGAAGGAGAGUAUUCCAGAAGAGACAACAGCUUAAGCAGGGCCUUGCCAUGGAGGAAGGUGCUUUCUGAUCACCGCGGGACACCUGUGUGAUAGCUCAUAGGGAGGGGGUUUGUGGAUACUGGUAACUAAAAGUUGAUAAGGAAGAGUGGCUAAAAUGAAAAGCAGAAAAGUGAGAAUCUCAUCAAAUCCCCUCAUUUGACAGGAUUUGGACUCCCAGUGGUAACUGUCCUUAAACACUCACUCCUGACCUUAACCCUGGCUGUUACCUGGUUAACAAGCCCCAGGUGUUGCCUACAGGUGUCAUCACUGAGAGCCCUUGUGUGCAGAUCUGCCCCAGCUCUCCCACCUGUGACUGAGGCUAGCCAGUCCCACCGUGGGCUGUAGAGCUUAGCGCUGGUGUCAGAAUCGUUUGUUGCAGGUUCAUCUUCAGUGUCUUUCCCACAGCCACAGCCAUGCUGGGGAAAGAUGGCAAAGGCGCUAGAGGAGCAGGAGAACAAAGCAAGCUGCCCCAGACUACCCGGCCUUCGCAGAACCCAGAUGAUGCUCCUGUCUCCCCCUAAGUAUAACGUGUUAUGUAGUCAGUAUGAUCCCAUUCGGUGCAGAAGUAUGGCCUAGGAAUUUCCUGCCUCACCCACCCUGUUUUGUUCUUAAUGAAGUUCAAGAACAAAAUGAGAUGAUAGUCAAGUUAUGGAGCAGGCUGCAGUGGGUACAAGGGCAGAAACACAGUCUUUGGAGUUAGACCUGGGAUCUGCAUUUAUUGGUUGUGUGACUGCAGACAAGUUAUUUAGCCUCAUUAAGGAUGAAUUUCUUCGCAAAAAUUGGAGUAAUACCUGCCCCAUACGACUGUUGUGAGAAUUAAAUACGACAACUUUU
Molecule: long non-coding RNA, 31892 nt
Organism: Pongo pygmaeus (Bornean orangutan)
Lineage: Eukaryota; Metazoa; Chordata; Mammalia; Primates; Hominidae
Exons: 3
Source: RefSeq, a predicted model, not a curated record